RNAcentral lists this ribosomal RNA (371 nucleotides) under uncultured organism. RNAcentral describes it as "bacterial SSU rRNA". It matches the Rfam family "Bacterial small subunit ribosomal RNA", at positions 526 to 896 of the family's 1533-position model. The record is from RNAcentral.
CAGAGGGUGCGAGCGUCAAUCGGAAUUACUGGGCGUUAAGCGCGCGUAGGCGGCUUUGCAAGUCGGGUGUGAAAUCCCCAGGCUUAACCUGGGAACUGCAUUCGAGACUGCAUUGCUAGAGUAUGGGAGAGGGAAGUGGAAUUUCCGGUGUAGCGGUGAAAUGCGUAGAUAUCGGAAGGAACAUCAGUGGCGAAAGCGACUUCCUGGACCAAUACUGACGCUCAUGUGCGAAAGCGUGGGGAGCAAACAGGAUUAGAUACCCUGGUUGUCCACGCCAUAAACGAUGAGAACUGGAUGUCGGGAGGGUCUGCCUCUCGGUGUCGUAGCUAACGCGUUAAGUUCUCCGCCUGGGGAGUACGGCCGCAAGGUUG